GUCUUUCUGGGAUGUUUAGAUCAAGAAUUAUUGAUAGCUGGAAAUUUGGAUAUUAAGCAUAAGGAAAAAAAUGAGGCCUAGAGAUACAGAUUUGGAAAUCAGUAUUUCAUUGUUGGUAGUAAAAGCUGUGAGAAUAAAUGACAUUUCCUGUAAGAAGGAGAUAAAAAUCCUAUUAGAAAAUAUACUUAUUCCUGUUUCUAGAAUUUUGAUGCUUCAUUCAAGUGACUAUAAACCAGCAAUGGAGAAGAAACUAGAGAGUUUCUCCCUGUAAAUAAUUCUUGUGGUAAAUUCAGGAAUGGGGAAGCCUUCUUUGGAAAACAGCCUUCUUCCUUGGUAAUGACUGGAGAUGAAGUUAAACAUUCCAUAGAUCUGUUUAAGAAUGCAUUGAAGUAUCUUUUUUAUUAUGAAAAUCCAUUCAUAUAAAAAUAUGUAUAAGCGGCUUCAAUAUGUCAGGCCUUCUUUUCUAAGCUCUGGGUUAAAAUAAUAGCAAAUACAAUGAAUCCCUGAUACAAUGGAGCUUAUUGGAAGAUUGACACAAGUAAUUAUAAUAUAGUAUGGUAAAUGAUAAUAGGGAAGUGUCGGAUGAUAUGAGAGCCUACAUACAUCAGGAGCACAUGACUCAGUGGGAGACAUGGGAUGACCUUCCUAAGGAAGUAACAUUUAAACUGAGAUCAGAAGACUGAGUGGAGGUGACCUACAAAAAGAGGAAAAGAUGGGCAUGCAAGCAGUGUCUUAGAGGG
Molecule: long non-coding RNA, 740 nt
Filed under: Marmota monax (woodchuck)
Lineage: Eukaryota; Metazoa; Chordata; Mammalia; Rodentia; Sciuridae
Source: RNAcentral